GCCCUGGUGGCGGAAUUGGCAGACGCGCAUGGCUCAGGACCAUGUGGGGGCAACCCCAUAGAGGUUCGACUCCUCUCCAGGGCA
Molecule: transfer RNA, 84 nt
Filed under: Planctomycetota bacterium
Lineage: Bacteria; Pseudomonadati; Planctomycetota
Description: Planctomycetes bacterium tRNA-Leu
Rfam family: tRNA
About the family: Transfer RNA (tRNA) molecules are approximately 80 nucleotides in length. Their secondary structure includes four short double-helical elements and three loops (D, anti-codon, and T loops).
Source: RNAcentral